GUCUGGUCUUUCAGCAUGGCCACCUCCGGGGCGGUCAAAUUCUACAAAGCCGCUUUGACCAAGGGCCCCUGCAGCUGCAGAGCCCGGUGCCAUGUAUGAACUCCGUUUCGCGUCCUCCUUAGGCCAGAGCUUUCCCCUCUCUCCGUUCUUCCCUGAGCCGUAACUGGGCCUCUGGGUCUGCUGAUGAGAACCACGUAACCUCUCCAGUCAGGUGUUUCAGGUGCAGCAAUCUGUUUUUAAAAUGUUUGCAACAGUUGCUGGUGGGCCAGGUGGCAGCCAUAAGCCAGGCAGUGUACCGCGUCUCCCAAUGUCUCCAGUAACUGAUCCAUCCCCUGCAGGCUCCCUGGACUGGAAUGGGCGCUCAGACGUGAUGUGCGGUGCCGGAUAGUGCUGUGCCAAGACGUCAGCCCUGUGGGGAGCGCUGCUGAUGGAGGCGCUGGGAGCCAGAAGCGCAUUACUGCGCAGCCACAGUCUGCCCAGGAAGGCGCCUGGACGGGAAAGGGCAGCGCACCCAUUGCUGCCCUGGCGGCCAGCCUGCAAGGGCCGGGUUCCCGAGGCCUCCGAAACGUCCCUCAGGGCCCUGCAGCAGUUCGCGACGACCCCCUGCAGUACAAUUGCUUGAAACCAUCAGCCAGAAUUAAUGUCAAGUGGCUCUCAUUUCAUGAAGUAAUUAGAGCACAGGCAAGUGUUGACAACUUUCAUGGAAUUCUCCUGGAGGCUUAAGUAAUAUCUAAGCUGCAAGACAAUGCAAGCCUCUUUGUCCAUUAAAACAUGGAAUCUGUUGUAGCAGUUUCUGAAAGCAAAGGAAAAGGAGGUAAGAGGACACCGGAGUCUUACUCUGAUUUGCAAAUGAUCACUACCCUUUAAAAGGACAAAGCAGUUUGGUACUAAAGUCAGAAAUUAAAGAGGUAAUUUCUGACCAGUGGCAUUUAUCUACCUUAGGCAAAUGACCAGGUUAACUAAUCCAGCUCACUAUCUUUUCUCUAAUAAGUUAUAUCCUGCUUUGGAGAAGAAUGCGCUAGAACAGUUGAAUACCAUGUUUUCUCUGGUUCAUACUUCAGAUCACAAAACCUUUGUCUGCACAUCUUGACUCAAACCAGGCAGCGUGGACUGCCAUAGGCCAGUGCUUUUCUGCUUUUUUGGCUACAGCUUGCAAUAAGAAGAAUAUUCUGUAACAGCACUAAGGGUACACAUGAAGCAGAAAUAUUUCUCCUAACUCUGGGGUUUCUUGCUAUUUUUUAUUUAUUCUGUAUCAUUAUUUUAAAUGCUAAUUGAGACUUAGUAAAUCGCUUUCAUGAUUGCUAAUGAGUUGCAAUCUCUAUCUUGAAAAAUAUUGCCCUGAGGAAUGCCGGAAUUUCUUUAUCCAUUCCUGGAUAGGAAGACUCUUUGAAAAUUGCCCAAAUGUGCAUAGACAUGUUAGUACAUGCAGAUACGUUGGUCUUUUCUGAAACAUGGAUGGAAAUACUUUCCUGCUGCUGCACUUUUGACCUGAGUUUCCUGAUGAUUUGUUGGGACUGAUGUUUCCACUUGCCAGAAGUUCAAAAGCCCUUCUUAAAGCAGCCUUGUUAAUGUUCCCACUUGCCAGAAGCAAGUUCAAAGGCCUUUCUCAAACUAGCUCAUUAUGACUUGGAAGAUAAAUGGGUUCACCUUUUAUAGAGAGCUAUUACAUGAAUUUUUUCCCCUCUCCUUGUAAUCUCUUACAGCACUAUUGUCGUAAAAUUAUAAAAACAGAAGCUCAUUCUUUAUACAGACCAUCUGGAGAAUUUUACACAAAGUGAUGCAAGGAAAAUACAGUACAUGAUUCUAGAGAACAAAACUCCAGCUGUGUCAGUUGUAGUCAUAGAUUUUAUAGUUUAAAAUACAUUGAUUUAAUAACAUUCUUAUUAAACACUCUUUUCAAACCUCAGUUACUCUCCUGUUUAUUUUAAUUAUUCUUACAAAUUUUCAAUUUAAGAAUGUUUUACAGGUAUUCAGAGUCCACUAUGAUUGUAUUAAUUGAUUUUUAUAGUACCUUAUAGUCCAUAACAUCUUUUUGUUUUUGUUAUAUUGAUCACUAUUACCAACUAAUAAUAGUGAUAGUGUUCUCACAACAGCCCCAAGGCCUCAUAGGGCAGGUAUAUUUGUCUUUGACAAUUGAGUUAGUCCAAUGGAAUAGAAAAAAGAUAGUGAUCACAAAAGAUGAAAUUCUUGUCUUAACUCUCCUCCUUACUCAGGUGGAUGAACCUGUGAAAGUCACUGAAUUUCCUGGGUUGGUAUGUAGGAUGUUAUAUCAUUAUUUAAAAGAGAUAACUUAUGUUAAAUUGCCUAGUUCAGUGACAGGAGCAUAGUACAGUAGGUCUUGAGAUAUGAGUUUGUUUGAAUAUAAGCAUGAGGCAAAAAUUUUUUUUUAAGUUUAUUUUAUUUAUCUGAAAGGCAGUGUUACAGAGAAAGUGGGAGAGACAGAGAGUGUGAGAAAGAGAUCUUCCACCUACUGUUCACUCCCUAAAUGGCUGCAAAGGCCAGGGCUGGGUCAGGCUGAAGCCAGAGUCAGGAACUCCUUCCUAGUCUCCAGUCUAGGUGGCAAAGGCCAUCUUUCUCUGCUUUCCUAGAUGGAUUAUAAGGGAGCUUGAUUGGAAGUGUCAGGACUCAAAUUGGUGCUCAUAUGGUAAGCAGGUGUUGUGGGAGGCUGCUUAACCCGCCAUGUUACAACCCUGGCCACACAAGUGGGUUUCAAGACUUCAGAGCCAACAGUCUUUUCCUUUGGCCAGACUGCCUCUGUCUUCUUAAUGGAAUGAAUUUGUGAUAUACUUAAUAAAGAAUAAAAAUUCACAA
This 2811-nucleotide long non-coding RNA is filed under the name Oryctolagus cuniculus (rabbit). Its description in RNAcentral is "lncRNA (ENSOCUG00000038497.1)". The record is from RNAcentral. Lineage: Eukaryota; Metazoa; Chordata; Mammalia; Lagomorpha; Leporidae.